CUUGCUGGGUGGAUUAGUGGCGAACGGGUGAGUAACACGUGAGUAACCUGCCCUUAACUCUGGGAUAAGCCUGGGAAACUGGGUCUAAUACCGGAUAGGAGCGUCCACCGCAUGGUGGGUGUUGGAAAGAUUUAUCGGUUUUGGAUGGACUCGCGGCCUAUCAGCUUGUUGGUGAGGUAAUGGCUCACCAAGGCGACGACGGGUAGCCGGCCUGAGAGGGUGACCGGCCACACUGGGACUGAGACACGGCCCAGACUCCUACGGGAGGCAGCAGUGGGGAAUAUUGCACAAUGGGCGCAAGCCUGAUGCAGCGACGCCGCGUGAGGGAUGACGGCCUUCGGGUUGUAAACCUCUUUCAGUAGGGAAGAAGCGAAAGUGACGGUACCUGCAGAAGAAGCACCGGCUAACUACGUGCCAGCAGCCGCGGUAAUACGUAGGGUGCGAGCGUUAUCCGGAAUUAUUGGGCGUAAAGAGCUCGUAGGCGGUUUGUCGCGUCUGUCGUGAAAGUCCGGGGCUUAACCCCGGAUCUGCGGUGGGUACGGGCAGACUAGAGUGCAGUAGGGGAGACUGGAAUUCCUGGUGUAGCGGUGGAAUGCGCAGAU
RNAcentral lists this ribosomal RNA (602 nucleotides) under uncultured Actinomycetes bacterium. RNAcentral's name for it is "bacterial SSU rRNA". It matches the Rfam family "Bacterial small subunit ribosomal RNA", at positions 79 to 695 of the family's 1533-position model. The record is from RNAcentral. Lineage: Bacteria; Bacillati; Actinomycetota; Actinomycetes.